UACAGAGGUCUCAAGCGUUGUUCGGAUUCAUUGGGCGUAAAGGGUGCGUAGGCGGCGCGGUAAGUCGGGUGUGAAAUCUUGGAGCUUAACUCCGAAACUGCAUUCGAUACUGCCGUGCUUGAGGACUGGAGAGGAGACUGGAAUUUACGGUGUAGCGGUGAAAUGCGUAGAUAUCGUAAGGAAGACCAGUGGCGAAGGCGGUUCUCUGGGCCUUACCUGACGCUGAGGAGCGAAAGCAUGGGGAGCAAACAGG
Molecule: ribosomal RNA, 253 nt
Filed under: uncultured bacterium
Lineage: Bacteria
Description: partial 16S ribosomal RNA
Rfam family: Bacterial small subunit ribosomal RNA
Source: RNAcentral